RNAcentral lists this long non-coding RNA (299 nucleotides) under Elaeis guineensis (African oil palm). RNAcentral describes it as "long non-coding RNA (EGUI_LNC064258)". Lineage: Eukaryota; Viridiplantae; Streptophyta; Magnoliopsida; Arecales; Arecaceae. The record is from RNAcentral.
CAUGAUUUUUUUGGAAUUUUUAGGGAUGCCAAAAGGAGGUUUUGGCAUUGAUUCAUGGCACCCUUUCUUGGAAAGUCCUAAUUCCUAGUCUAUAAAAGGGGACCCCUCUCUUGGAUGUUCUAUGAUCAAUUCUCUUAUAGAUUUUUUAUUUCUAAAGCCUCUUCUCCUCCUCUUCUCUUCCUCCUAUAGACCUCCUAUCACUUUGGAGUAUCCAAGGUGCUUGUAGAAGAAGAAAGAAAUCAGCUGUUGAAGUUGUUCGCAGACUAGCAUCUUCGAGCCCCUGAUCUAUGCAAGUCUUC